This 26-nucleotide small RNA is filed under the name Bombyx mori (domestic silkworm). RNAcentral describes it as "ovarian small RNA-19113". The record is from RNAcentral. Lineage: Eukaryota; Metazoa; Arthropoda; Insecta; Lepidoptera; Bombycidae.
UAAGAACUUACUGGAAGAGGGUCGAA